Molecule: ribosomal RNA, 468 nt
Filed under: uncultured bacterium
Lineage: Bacteria
Description: partial 16S ribosomal RNA
Rfam family: Bacterial small subunit ribosomal RNA
Source: RNAcentral
GACGAACGCUGGCGGCGUGCUUAACACAUGCAAGUCGAACGGAAAGGCCCUGCUCUUGUGGGGUGCUCGAGUGGCGAACGGGUGAGUAACACGUGAGUAACCUGCCCUUGUCUUUGGGAUAACUUCAGGAAACUGGGGCUAUUACCGGAUAGGAGCUCCUGCUGCAUGGUGGGGGCUGGAAAGUUUCGGCGGUUGGGUAUGGUCUCGCGGGUUAUCAGCUUGUUGGUGGGGUAGUGGCUUACCAAGGCUUUGACGGGUAGCCGGCCUGAGAGGGUGAACGGCCACAUUGGGACUGAGAUACGGCCCAGACUCCUACGGGAGGCAGCAGUGGGGAAUAUUGCACAAUGGGCGGAAGCCUGAUGCAGCAACGCCGCGUGCGGGAUGCCGGCCUUCGGGUUGUAAACCGCUUUCGACUGUGACGAAGAGUGAGUGACGGUAAUGGGUAAAGAAGCACCGGCUAACUACGUG